Molecule: ribosomal RNA, 406 nt
Filed under: uncultured bacterium
Lineage: Bacteria
Description: partial 16S ribosomal RNA
Rfam family: Bacterial small subunit ribosomal RNA
Source: RNAcentral
AUUGAACGCUGGCGGCAGGCUUAACACAUGCAAGUCGAGCGAGCGGCGGACGGGUGAGUAAUGUCUGGGAAACUGCCUGAUGGAGGGGGAUAACUACUGGAAACGGUAGCCAAUACCGCAUACCAUCAGAUGUGCCCAGAUGGGAUUGGCUAGUAGGUGGGGUAAUGGCUCACCUAGGCGACGAUCCCUAGCUGGUCGGAGUGGAUGACCAGACACACUGGAACUGAGACACGGUCAAGGCUCCUACGGGAGGCAGCAGAGGGGACUGUUGCACAAUGGGGGAAAGCCUGAUGGAGACAUGCCGCGUGUGUGAAGAAGGCAUUCGGGUUGUAAAGCACUUUAAGCGAGGAGGCGUUACUCGCAGAAGAAGCACCGGCUAACUCCGUGCCAGCAGCCGCGGUAAUAC